UCUAGCGAAUGUUAUAAACUUAACACUUUCUGUUGUACCGAAGUUCUCACUGAUUUUGUGCAUCAACAUUGUUUAUAAAGCUUUUGCUGAUUAAAUUCUAAAUGCUGGAAGAUUUAUUUCGUGCUUUAUUUUAUUAUAUACCGACCAUAAUGUCUAUUGAACAUGUUGGGUUUUACCCUUAAGACACUAUCUUUAUCUUGUUUUGAGAUUCCUGAAACGGUAGUGAAAGAUAAGAUAGCAAAGCAUAGCAUAUUUGUGGAACAGAGGGGUUUGUUAUUUGAGACUACUGGCCCGAGGACAUGGGUGGGAUAUUUUCUUCAAGGGAUGGACCAUAAUAAUUCAUUCCCUUCGGUGAAGUGCAUGACUCCAGGAAAUGUCCAAUUUCAUGUUUUCUGUAGCUUUUAUCCAAAACCUUUUCUUCAGCACAGACUAUUGCAGGUGUAGCUGUGGAAGUUUGAGUAUAUAAGGAAAAUUUUAUAAGUCGUGGCCAGAUUCUCAAGAAUUAUUGUGAUAUUUAACUAUUCAAUUUUGACUCUUUGAAUUAUUUACAUUGGAAUUGACAGGCGGUAUUUGAACGCUACUUACCAACACUAUUGUAUCCCCUGCUUAUUAUAUUUGGUGGAAAUGUUUGCAUAUAAUCAUUUGUCUACAAAAUAUUUCCAUAGUCAUUUGUCUACAAAAUGUUUCCAUAUAGUCAAUUUGUCUACAAAAUGUCUGCACCAACUUGAUCCAUGCGGAGUAUGAACUUCAGCAUCUUUUUUCUUUUUCUUUUCUAAAAUAACCGUUUAAACCUCAUUUAUUUUAUGAACAAGUAUCUCUUUGUGAUGCAUAAAUUUUGAUAUUUCUCAAUACUACUUUUAUAUGAAUGGGUGAGUUUUCAUUGACAGCAAUUAUUCUCUCGUGGCCAUCUCUACAGUUUGCAGCACCCCUCUUUUUCCUCAAGUUGAUUUUGUCUCAAGCCUUGACUGCGUUGAUAGGUGUAGCGCUGGUGUUGGCUUUCACCCUAUUUUUCGUUUGUGAACAAUAUGAAUCGGAAAUAGAUGGAUUGACAAAGCUCCUGUUCAACGGGUUCAUAUCAGCUUCUGGGUCAUUGAGAAGAAAUCUACCUGCUUCCAUGCAACUAUAUCUUGAAAAACAUGGAAUCUUGCAUCACGAUAAAGGUAAAGCAUCAUAAAUAGCUGCCACUGUCACCUCAAUAGUCUUUUCGCAGAGGUUUUUCUAACUGUAUAAAUCCAAUCCAAUCCAAUGGUCUGCUAGCUAGCUUAGAUUUUUAUGAAAAUAUAGAUUUUGGGGCAAAUCCAACAAAAGAAAUAGCACAAUACAGACUCUUGCUCUGUUCUUAUUGUUAACCAAAAUGUUAUAGGCUGUAGAAAUCAAUGCCUUUUCGACAUAUCUGUAAAACCGAGAAAUAUUUUGGUAAAAUAUUAAUCUCUUG
Long non-coding RNA from Malus domestica (apple), 1435 nucleotides. RefSeq lists it as uncharacterized. The record is from RefSeq and is a predicted model, not a curated record. NCBI's taxonomy places the organism in Eukaryota, Viridiplantae, Streptophyta, Magnoliopsida, Rosales, Rosaceae.